Molecule: long non-coding RNA, 503 nt
Filed under: Homo sapiens (human)
Lineage: Eukaryota; Metazoa; Chordata; Mammalia; Primates; Hominidae
Description: HSALNT0295141
Source: RNAcentral
UGAUGAAAUGAUGAGAUGAGAUGAGAUGUAAUGAUGAGAGGAAAUGAUGAGAUGUAAUGAAAUGAGAUGAAAUGAAUGAGAUGAAAUAAUGAAAGGAAAUUGAAUUGAUAUAUGAGAUGAAAUGAGAUAAUGAAAUGAUGAGAUGAGACGAGAAGAAAUGAGAUGAAAUGAGAUGAGAUAAAAUGAGAUGAAAUGAAAUGAAGUGAAAUGAAAUGAAAUAAUGAAAUUGAAAUGAGAUGAGAUGAAAUGAGAUAAAAUGAUGAGAUGAAAUGAUGAGAAAUGAGAUGAAAUGAUGAGAUGAGAUGAGAUGAACUGAGAUGAGAUGAGAUGAAAUAAUGAAAUUAGGUGAAAUAAUGAAAUGAGAUGAAAUAAUGAAAUUGAAAUGAGAUGAGAAGAAAUGAGAUGAAAUGUUGUAAUGAAAGGAGGAAAUGAUGAGAUGAGGAGAUGAAAUGAUGAGAUGAAUUGAGAUGAAAUGAGAUGAAAAAUGAUAUCAAAAAUAUGAG